UGCAUGAAACUAUUAGCAGCCUUUCGUCCAUCAAAUUGGACUUUUGUAGUAAUAGAUUGGUGUUAUCUGUUAAAAUGAGAAUCUAUAGCAUUGCCCACAGCUAGUCCUUUUCCUUCUCCAGAUAUGAGCAACUUCAACAAUAGCCUAAUAGUUGGUGCAUUUUGCGAGCACCUUCACAACUGACUCUUUUCAAUGGCUGUCCUCAAUUGCCACCUCCUCUUUACAUGGGAUGCAUGUCCCAGAAGACUAUCCUGCAAGUCCCUAGCUUGCAAGUCACCCCUUCAUGCCACUCAUGACAUGAGCAUGAUACGUAUAGGAUACGUGACUGUACUCCUCUUCCAUGACAUCUCUCCCAUGGUGUCUCUAUUCCAACAAGCCCCAUCAUCACCAUCACAUAGUCCUUAUCCAGCACCUCAUCGCUUACCCCAAGAAUUAUUUUCUUAUGGUAAUAUAUGGUGGUCAAGAAGGAGAAUCCCAUCCUAGCGAUGGCUGAGUUAAAGCCUAUCUUCAACUCCAAGUACUAAAUAAAAAUAGCUACUAGUGGUAUUUUUAAAUUCCAUUAUAAGCCUGAAAGAAUACC
Molecule: long non-coding RNA, 580 nt
Filed under: Elaeis guineensis (African oil palm)
Lineage: Eukaryota; Viridiplantae; Streptophyta; Magnoliopsida; Arecales; Arecaceae
Description: long non-coding RNA (EGUI_LNC032370)
Source: RNAcentral